UUGCCCAUACCCUUUUCAUGUUUGAAGAGGUAACAUACCAAGCUAUGCUGAGUUGGGUUUACUUUCUUUAGUUUGUGAGAGUGAAGCCAAGGUUCUUCCUUUGAAUAAAUAGGAAAAGGUGAUGAACUCCUUCAAUGCAUUGCUGCGGAAAAGGAAUAAUUCUUCUCCCAUUUUCAAAAUAAGACAAGAAAAUUCUAGGAAUAGUAGAGCAU
Molecule: long non-coding RNA, 212 nt
Filed under: Glycine max (soybean)
Lineage: Eukaryota; Viridiplantae; Streptophyta; Magnoliopsida; Fabales; Fabaceae
Description: long non-coding RNA (GMAX_LNC003220)
Source: RNAcentral